Long non-coding RNA from Motacilla alba alba, 4029 nucleotides. RefSeq lists it as uncharacterized. Lineage: Eukaryota; Metazoa; Chordata; Aves; Passeriformes; Motacillidae. The record is from RefSeq and is a predicted model, not a curated record. The transcript is spliced from 4 exons.
CACAGAGAAUUGCUAUACUGUGGAGAGUUUCUCAUCCGUUAGUGAUAUGUCAAGGAUUUUUUUGGUUUUAGCUUCUUAAUUUUUUUUGAUAUUUCAGUUUGCUUACUGCACCCUCUAUCUGCCUAGUCAUAUCUGUUUCAUGCUCUAUAUUCCAGAAGGUUGAGUUGCAUAUAUCUUAAUUCAGGCCCCUUCCAUGAAGAGCCACAAUAUUUGGUCUCCAGUUGAAUGGACAGAGGACAGUGGCUGAUAAUUUGACGUCACAUCUGCAUAAAAUUAUCAAAACAGUAAUGGGAACAGUAUCAACAAAGAACUAAACUUUUCUAUUAAGAGUAUGUCUGCCUCUUGGAAGCCUGUAGGAACCACAGAAAAAAUACAAGCCCUGCAGGUUUAGUCUCUUUAGAAAGAAGUCUGUGGAAAUGCGAAGUAUUACUAGAAUGAAGUGCUCUAUAUUACUGAGAGAAAAACUCAGUAAGCCAAAAUCUUAAGAGCAUUCUGAAGUUUCCAAAGAUAUGUACCAUUUUUUUUGCUCUUGGCAUCAUCUUCGCUGUGGCUACAAUGUGCUCGUUUUAUAAAGAGUGACCACAGGACAAAACACCUAUUUGGGGCCAUUGUGUUUUGGAGUUGUUCAGGGGUAGUUGCCUUCAGAGGAAGUUAAAGCAGAGUGCCUAAGUUGAUGUAUUAUUUAUCUCUCAAGGUAUUUCUGGAAGCACCUUUUGUUUUCAGCAGAAGUUUCUGGGAAUGUGAUUGCAGGAUAAUUGUUGUGCAAUCUGGCACUAGGCAGAGCAUUGGCAAGGUAAGGCUGAUAUUUCAAAAUUCAGCCAGACCUACCCUGGGAAAAUAAGAGCUUCACAGGUGUGACCCCAACAUAUGAAGAGAGAAAUUGCUUCGUAAACAUGGCCAAAAAGACAGGACUCAGACCAUCCCUGUUGCUCUUCCUCAUCUCAGCAAACCUGUGCUGAGACAUUCACGUGUUCAGUGGGCAAUAGUGUCCCUGUCUGGAGAUAGGGAACUACGAGAGGAAUGUCCUUGUAACCAGUAAGAUCGGUUCUGAUCACUUGGAGAGUGCUAAUUAAGAUCAGUUUAAACACUCAUGCAGCUCUUAAUCAUUUUUGCACACAUUGUUGAGAAAGACGAGUGAAGUGCUCAGCUUUCUGGAGCCACACAUAGCUCUAAGAAUCAUAAAAAUGUCUUAAAAGUGCUAGUGUGUGUGUGUGUGCGUGUGUAUAUAUAAAAAAAUUUAAUACUCUUUCAAGUAUGAGUAUGGCAGCACAAGAGUAGAAGAAUUGCAAAACUUAAAUGUCCACAUUAAACUGAUAUAUGGUACAUACCAGAUGAUAUAUAUACUGCCUUAUUGUUCAGUUGUGGCUCAGGAAGCUAAAUGCAUAAUAUAAGAUGUAUGUAUAGUCUAAGGGUCAAACUCUGUCAGUUACACGAGUGUAAAUCAAGAGCAAUUGCUCCGAAGUGACUGAAGUUUCAGUACCCUGGAUUUACACAAGUGUUGCUGAAAGCAGAAUAUGAGUCAAUACAUGUCAUCAAUACAGCUGAGUUAGUGGCACUGAGGGAAUUUUAUGAUAUGCAUGCACCUAAAUCCUUCACUUUUUUUUUUUUUUUUUUAUGUUUUAUACUAUUACAUUUUAUGUUUCAAAUUUUGUCUAUGUGUUUAAAGGAAUAAGGGACUCAAAUCCUGAUUCUGUAAGUGAAAUGUCCCCUUCCCUCAUCUAGCAAAUUUUCUCAGUCUUGCUUCAUAACAGUGGGAUAGACAUCUCAUGUUCAUGGAAGGAUUACUUCCCUGACUUACAUUUAAGGCCAGUCUUAGUUUUUAUAAAUGCAUAAUUCUGAACCCCAGCAGAACGUUGCUAGGCUGGCUGGCUGACUGCAUGCAGAAAUGCAUCCUUGUCAUUUGCUCCAUUCUGUUAGCAAGUGUACAGAUUGUCGUAGGUCCAGGAGGCAAAGUUUCCUAGGCAUGUAGAAAGCAGGAUCUGGAUGCUUCAGGAAGAAUUGUGGAGCUGGUAGCAGUCAGUGGGUAUGGACAGCUGGCAGCUAAAGACAAAAUCAGCUGUUAUAAAAGAUCACAGGACAAUUUUCUUGACUGAUACAUUCUGAAAUUUUUAUUGAGAGGUUCAAGGAAAAAAAAAAAGGCUAUACAUGGGAUGCUACUUGGAAGAUAUAGUGCAAAACAAAGAGGUAUAAAACCUCAUAUUCUGUUGGGGAACGAGCAGAGUACCUGUCAGAUAUACCUGGUCUUCAAUGACCUUAUUUUACAUGGAGAAAGAAUAUAUGAUUUUCUGGGUUGAAAGGAGGUUUUUAAUUCUGAAAGGAGGUUAUAUGUUAAAUAUAUGGUAGCAGUCUAUUCAAUAAUAGAAGUCAAGUCCCUUACUUGGGAAGGCAGAAUCUGGUAUUCUAUCACAUAAAAUAAUGUCAUUUCUCUAACAUACUUUUAAAUUGAAUGUGUUAUUUUAAAUCACUUUUUUAUUAUAUUCUUGAAUACCUAGAAAGAUUAAAAAGCUCAAAAGGAGAUCCCUCAGUAUUCACAUAAUCAAAAAUGGCUGAAUUAAUUUGAUACAUAUAAAAAAAUAAAAUAGCCAUUUCAGAUUACAAUGAUCAACUGUGGGGGCUUACCACUUCAAAAGAAGCAGAACAAACCUCCAUGUGUGCUCAACACACACACACACUCCCUUAUCCAGUUAGAACAAUAUGUAGGUAUGGAUUUGGUGAGAUUGUUUGAUCCCAAAAGGAUUCGUAUAAGAAAAACUUCUCUUUCAGAGAAAUGAUCUCUCUAGAGACUGAUAGUGAUGAUACAAUAGGCUGGAGUUGCUAUUAUUAAAAAAAAAAUUACUACUUUUUCUGACUAUGUUUCUUUUUUUUCCCAGUGGGAUUCUGAUUCCAGACACUCAACUAGCCUGAUAUCCACUGGGAAAGUGAUGACACCAUAAAUUAUUUAAAGGUUUGAAAACCACAAGAACUACUGUAUAUAACCAGAUUGGAUUGACUUUUAAACUCUUUUGAUUAAUAAUACAUAAAGCCUUAGAUAUGUGAAUUGGUUGAGUGCUAACCUGUUAACAAAAGGAAUAGAAGGGAUGAAUUCUAUAAUUUCUCAUAAGUUAUUCUACUUAACAUAUUGGCCAAACAAAACAAACAAAUGGACAGCUCUGCCUUAGUCUUAGACCUUUAAUGCAUCAUCAAUAUUUGAUGACUACCUAAUGUCUCCAUAUAUCUGGACAAAGAAGAUAAUUUGAUCACCUGGCUUCCCAAUUUAAAAUUUCCAAAAUGCUUUCUCCUACAUUCAUCAAAACACAUAAAUAGAAAGUAGAUGCAGUUUCAAUAUCCUGGUUUGGUUUUUGCUUUUGUUUUGUUGGGUUGUUUUGUUUUUGGUUUUUUUUGAGUUUCAUUUUUAACAUUGCUAACUACUUACAAGAGAAAUUUUUUUUUUCAGUCUUCUGCAAUAAAUGGGGCUAGAAUUUCCUAAGUUUAUGAUAUUUGUCCUCAGCAGAAGGAUGAGAGUAGAUAUGUGUGAUGCAUGGGACAGAUUUCAUGUUCUACCCUUCCACUGCUGGCUCUGUUUUAAUUAUUUCCCAGGUCCCCAAGUUUCGGUCUCUUUCAUGCUGCUUUGGGUGGACCUCAAAGAGAAAUGUUGUUCUUUUCUCUUCAAGUACAGAUGAAGAUGCAUGGGACAGCCUGCAUUUCUAAGAAACAAGAAAUCGCUACAAGAGAGAGACUGAAUACUUUUCUUCCAGGUUGCCCAACCUGUGCUUCAAGACACAGGGUAUCCAGGGUGACUUCAGUAUGAUAUGAUAACUCUUGAUCUACAUGAAUUUAAGCAAAAGUCUAAGAGUCUACUGGGAAUGUAAUCUGUGGUGCCAGUCAUUUGAAACACACAUUUAAUAAGAAAAGAAUUGAAAUAACUGCAGCAGACACAGAUGACUUUGUUUCCUGCUGUGUUGAAGACAGGUAAGCAGCGAACAUGGCUAAAAUAAUUCAUAACAGAAAACUGUGCAGCUGCACAAAAAUACAUUCGGGGUGAGCACGGAG